Molecule: unclassified non-coding RNA, 909 nt
Filed under: Hevea brasiliensis (rubber tree)
Lineage: Eukaryota; Viridiplantae; Streptophyta; Magnoliopsida; Malpighiales; Euphorbiaceae
Source: RNAcentral
UUGUGAUAUCAUAAAGAAGAACUUGAAAUAUCAGCCAGGAAAGACAAAUAUGUAGCACAACUCAAGCGCGCCAUUAAUGCAUAUUUCAUUUUUCACUUAAAUAUCUUCAUCCGGGCCUAUAUUCUUCUUUUUUUCUUUAGAAAAAAAAGAAAAAACCUAUCUUGCUCUGCAAAACAAAUGAAAGAUUAAUUCUGAUAGCUUCUUCUUCUUCUUUAAUUUCGUUCUUUAAUUUCAUGGGAUUGUUCAGAUGAUGAUGAUGCUACUGAUGAGAUAAGGGUCUGGUAUUGCCAUCCUUCUUCCAGCCCAUCAGAAACGUUACUUGAAGGAUUGGCAUUCCUGUAAAUGGCAUAGAGCACUAGCUGUGCUGCUCCAAGUAAAAAUCCAGCUCCAUUUGGUACCCCAAGAAAAUAAUCACUUGUGAGAAUAGCAUACAAGGUCCAAAUCCCUCCAUUCAAGAAAAGGAAGAAAGACAGGAGGAAGGGCAUGAACUCCACACUCUUGGCAGUAACUACUGUUCUCAUAGCAGCUAGAGGCGAACCGUACAUAACAAUGUUGAGACCACAACACAUGAACCCUGUUGCAUCGAUCCUCACUUGUCCCUGCAAUACCAAACGAGUAACCAGAAUUGCUGCUGCUAAGAACCCCACAUCCAAGAGCCCAACAAGAAUUCCUGUUUUAGCCCUCAUUUUUGGUGCUGCAUAUACAAGGAAGAGAGUUACAUAUACAAUUUCCACCAGGAUUCCAAAACCAUUAACAGUAGCAACAAGGAAGGCUCCUGGUUUGAUGAUGCCAUAGUAGGUCCAUAAAGCUGCAUUUAGUAAUGUGCAGAUGUAAGGAAGACUCUCAAAGUCCUCAGUGGAUUUGUGCUUUAUAAUUCUCCAAAAAGUUCCAACAGGAGAAAGAAACAUG